Long non-coding RNA from Cavia porcellus (domestic guinea pig), 1013 nucleotides. RefSeq lists it as uncharacterized. The record is from RefSeq and is a predicted model, not a curated record. NCBI's taxonomy places the organism in Eukaryota, Metazoa, Chordata, Mammalia, Rodentia, Caviidae. The transcript is spliced from 2 exons.
GCAUUCCACUGCGCCUGCGUAAUCCCGCGUCGUCGCCCCGAGCAACAGGCGCCGCGCCCCAACAGGUCUCGCGGGACUAGCCUCAACGCGCGCCGGUGCGGCCACACCUCCGCCGAGGCCCCAGAGCCAGGCGCCUGAGCAAAGGCUGGACCCAGGCUGAAGGGGAAUAGAGCCAAGAAGGAUGACUCUGCCAGGUGGGCAAGAAGGUGACAAGGGAAUAGCCAGGCUCCAGUGCCCUCAAGGGAUUCAGUGAACGUCUGAUAGGGACCAACCCAGGAGUCCCCAAAUCCAUCCAUCUGGCAAGCCUCCAGGAAACUGUCUUCGAGUGACUCCUCAGCACAUUGUCACCAGCUGCUGUCUGGACGGUUCUUGUUCUCUUCUCCCUAAGGCAGUGGAUAGGAACUUUUACCUUUGUUCCUCACACUGGGCAUAGCCCAGAUAUCACAAAAUAGAGGAGUUCGGUAUGCUCAUUAUAUCUUUAAAGCUCUCACCUUUUUUAAAAAAUGAAAUUUAGUCUGAUCACAUUGUCUAGGCUGCCUUCCAACUCCUGGAUUGAAGAGUACCUGGGAGGUGGGCAUGGUGGGGCAUAUCUAUAACUCCAGCAUUCUGGAAGACUGAGAUAGGAGGAUCACUGUGAGCUCAAGGCCAGUCUGGGCUACAAAGUGAGUUUAAGCCAGCCUGAACUGCAUAGUGAAACCCUGUCUCAAAAAAUAAUAAUAAUAAUAAUAACAAAGCUGGGUGUGAUGGCACACUUCUGUAAUCCCAGCACACAGAAGGCUGAGGCAGGACGAUUGUUGCAAGUUAGAAACCAGUUUGGUCUCUAAGUGAGCCUCAGGCUACAAAGUGAGCCUGAGGCCAGUCUAAACUGCAUAGUGAGAUCCUGUCUCAAAAAAGACCAAACCAAACCAAACAAAACAAAUACAAAGUAAGCUCAAGCCCAGCCUGAACUGCAGAGUGAGACCCUGUCUCAAAAUAUACACCAAUAAAUAAAUAAAUAAGGCAUUUUUUUUUUG